Molecule: ribosomal RNA, 387 nt
Filed under: uncultured bacterium
Lineage: Bacteria
Description: bacterial SSU rRNA
Rfam family: Bacterial small subunit ribosomal RNA
Source: RNAcentral
AUUGAACGCUGGCGGCAUGCUUUACACAUGCAAGUCGAGCGGCAGCGCGGGGGGCAACCCUGGCGGCGAGCGGCGAACGGGUGAGUAAUGCAUCGGAACGUACCCUGGAGUGGGGGAUAACGCCGCGAAAGCGGCGCUAAUACCGCAUAUGCUCUGAGGAGGAAAGUGGGGGACCGCAAGGCCUCACGCUCUGGGAGCGGCCGAUGUCCGAUUAGCUAGUUGGUGGGGUAAAGGCUUACCAAGGCGACGAUCGGUAGCUGGUCUGAGAGGAUGAUCAGCCACACUGGGACUGAGACACGGCCCAGACUCCUACGGGAGGCAGCAGUGGGGAAUUUUGGACAAUGGGGGCAACCUUGAUCCAGCCAUGCCGCGUGAGUGAAGAAGGCC